This 456-nucleotide ribosomal RNA is filed under the name Blastocystis sp. RNAcentral's name for it is "SSU rRNA". It matches the Rfam family "Eukaryotic small subunit ribosomal RNA", at positions 471 to 940 of the family's 1831-position model. The record is from RNAcentral. Lineage: Eukaryota; Bigyra; Opalinata; Blastocystidae.
CAAUAAAUCACAAUGCGGGACUAUACGUCUUGCAAUUGGAUUGAGAACAAUGUACAACUCUUAUCGAUAAGCCAUUGGAGGGCAAGUCUGGUGCCAGCAGCCGCGGUAAUUCCAGCUCCAAUAGCGUAUAUUAACGUUGUUGCAGUUAAAAAGCUCGUAGUUGAAGUGUGGGUGAUCGCUGUUGUGAGACUUCGGUCUCUCGACAGUAAGUCACCCCCUUCCAGUAUCCAGUAGUGGGUAUUCAGUUACUUACUAUUGUGUGUUGGUCCUUUACUGUGAGAAAAUUAGAGUGUUCAAAGCAGGCGUUUGCUUGAAUAGAUUAGCAUGGAAUAAUAAUUGAAGGCUUUCGUGUUCGAUUUGAUUGGUUUGUUCAUGGAAGCAAGGUUAAAAGGAACAGUUGGGGGUAUUCAUAUUCACUAGUUAGAGGUGAAAUUCUCGGAUUUAUGGAAGAUGAAC